GCAAGUCGAGCGCUUCACUUCGGUGAGGAGCGGCGGACGGGUUAGUAACGCGUGGGAAUAUACCCUUUACUACGGAAUAGCCUCGGGAAACUGAGAGUAAUACCGUAUACGCCCUUCGGGGGAAAGAUUUAUCGGAGAAGGAUUAGCCCGCGUAAGAUUAGAUAGUUGGUGGGGUAAUGGCCUACCAAGUCUACGAUCUAUAGCUGGUCUGAGAGGAUGAUC
Molecule: ribosomal RNA, 222 nt
Filed under: uncultured bacterium
Lineage: Bacteria
Description: partial 16S ribosomal RNA
Rfam family: Bacterial small subunit ribosomal RNA
Source: RNAcentral